GGUCUUGACAUCCCGAUGCUAUUUCUAGAGAUAGAAAGUUACUUCGGUACAUCGGUGACAGGUGGUGCAUGGUUGUCGUCAGCUCGUGUCGUGAGAUGUUGGGUUAAGUCCCGCAACGAGCGCAACCCCUAUUGUUAGUUGCCAUCAUUCAGUUGGGCACUCUAGCGAGACUGCCGGUAAUAAACCGGAGGAAGGUGGGGAUGACGUCAAAUCAUCAUGCCCCUUAUGACCUGGGCUACACACGUGCUACAAUGGUUGGUACAACGAGUUGCGAGUCGGUGACGGCGAGCUAAUCUCUUAAAGCCAAUCUCAGUUCGGAUUGUAGGCUGCAACUCGCCUACAUGAAGUCGGAAUCGCUAGUAAUCGCGGAUCAGCACGCCGCGGUGAAUACGUUCCCGGGCCUU
Molecule: ribosomal RNA, 404 nt
Filed under: uncultured Streptococcus sp.
Lineage: Bacteria; Bacillati; Bacillota; Bacilli; Lactobacillales; Streptococcaceae
Description: bacterial SSU rRNA
Rfam family: Bacterial small subunit ribosomal RNA
Source: RNAcentral